Molecule: ribosomal RNA, 600 nt
Filed under: uncultured bacterium
Lineage: Bacteria
Description: partial 16S ribosomal RNA
Source: RNAcentral
GCGGGUACGGGUGCGGAACACGUGCUGCCAACAUGCCUUUAUCUCGGGGGAUCAGCCUUCUCCGAAAGGAAAGAUUUCAAAAUUUAACCCCAUCAAUAUCGUNCGAAUCGGAUCAUUCGAGGAUUGAAAAACUCCGGUGGAUCAGAGAUCGGGCACGCGCAAGAUUCACGAUAGUUCGGUGAGGUAACGGCUCACCAAGUCUACGAUCUCUCUAGGGGGCCUCGAGAGGGUUGAUCCCCCAACAUUGGUCACUUGAAGACAUCCGGAANCAAGACUCCCUCACGGGAAGGCAGCAAAGUCGAGGACAUCAUCGGACAAUCGGGUCGAGAGCCUCGAUCCAGCCAUACCCGCGUGANAGGACGAAUGACCUUAUCGGGUUCGUCACAACUUUACUCUAAUACGUAAUCACGGGAUUCAACUUAUACCUCAGUGAGGGUCAACUCGAAACGCGGGUUUCAACAUUAAUUAAGCCCGGAAAAUUUCAAAGGGUCCACCCCUGGGACGUUUAACAAACUUCCCACCUGUAUGGCCCAAAGAGCACAAGGACCCAAGGUACGNGGNUAAACAUUCACACGGCGGGAAAGUAGGUUGGCAAAAUAC